This 575-nucleotide ribosomal RNA is filed under the name uncultured bacterium. RNAcentral's name for it is "bacterial SSU rRNA". It matches the Rfam family "Bacterial small subunit ribosomal RNA", at positions 351 to 916 of the family's 1533-position model. The record is from RNAcentral.
GCAGUCGAGGAUCAUUCGCAAUGCGCGAAAGCGUGACGGUGCGACGCCGCGUGCAGGAUGAAGGCCUUCGGGUCGUAAACUGCUGUCAUGAGGGAACAAUAUCCGGGUUGUGAAUAUCAUCUCGGGGUGAUAGUACCUCAAGAGGAAGCCACGGCUAACUCUGUGCCAGCAGCCGCGGUAAUACAGAGGCGGCGAGCGUUGUUCGGAUUUACUGGGCGUAAAGGGUGCGUAGGCGGUUCUGUGUGUCGGACGUGAAAUCUCACAGCUCAACUGUGGAAUUGCAUUUGAAACUACAGGGCUGGAGUACAGGAGAGGAGAGCGGAAUUCUCGGUGUAGCGGUGAAAUGCGUAGAUAUCGAGAGGAACACCGGUGGCGAAGGCGGCUCUCUGGACUGAUACUGACGCUGAGGCACGAAAGCUGGGGGAGCAAACAGGAUUAGAUACCCUGGUAGUCCCAGCCCUAAACGGUGUGCACUUGGUGUGGGGAGGAUUGUCCCUUCCUGUGCCGGAGCUAACGCGUUAAGUGCACCGCCUGGGGAGUACGGUCGCAAGAUUAAAACUCAAAGGAAUUGACGG